RNAcentral lists this ribosomal RNA (570 nucleotides) under Wallemia sebi. RNAcentral's name for it is "SSU rRNA". It matches the Rfam family "Eukaryotic small subunit ribosomal RNA", at positions 111 to 682 of the family's 1831-position model. Lineage: Eukaryota; Fungi; Basidiomycota; Wallemiomycetes; Wallemiales; Wallemiaceae. The record is from RNAcentral.
UAUAGUUUAUUUGAUGGUACAUUACUACAUGGAUAACUGUGGUAAUUCUAGAGCUAAUACAUGCGUUAAAAUCCCGACUUACGAAGGGAUGUAUUUAUUAGAUACAAAACCAAUUCGUGGCAACACGAUAUUGGUGAGUCAUAAUAACUUUUCGAAUCGCAUGGCCUUGAGCCGGCGAUGCAUCAUUCAAAUAUCUGCCCUAUCAACUUUGGAUGGUAGGAUAGAGGCCUACCAUGGUUUUAACGGGUAACGGGGAAUAAGGGUUCGAUUCCGGAGAGGGAGCCUGAGAAACGGCUACCACAUCCAAGGAAGGCAGCAGGCGCGCAACUUACCCAAUCCCGACACGGGGAGGUAGUGACAAUAAAUAACAAUACAGGGCUCUUUUGGGUCUUGUAAUUGGAAUGAGUACAAUUUAAAUACCUUAACGAGGAACAAUUGGAGGGCAAGUCUGGUGCCAGCAGCCGCGGUAAUUCCAGCUCCAAUAGCGUAUAUUAAAGUUGUUGCUAUUAAAAAGCCCGUAGUUGAAUUUGAGGAGUAAAGUUUAGGUCCAUUGAAAGAUGAGUACUUUAA